GGAUGUGAAGGCAAUAGGUUUGUGACAUCUGUCACCAUAUUGAUCGCCAGUGUUGAUUCAGGUGAUCUGGCUGGCUAGGUGGGUGUCCCUUCCUCCCUAGCCACUCCGUGUGCAUCCCUCUAGAAGCUGCAAGUUCCAUCAGGGAGGACGACCAUCCCAAUAGAGGAGGACCAGUCUCCUGUCAAGAGUAUACAAGUAGCUGUACUCCCCUGUUAGAACCUCCAAACAAGCUCUCAAAAAAAAAUUGAUGCCUUAUAUACAGUAAGGGCUUCCCUCAUAGCUCAGUCUGUAAAGAAUCUGCCUGCAAUGCAGAAGACAUGGGUUU
Unclassified non-coding RNA from Capra hircus (goat), 325 nucleotides. Its record names the gene 7SK. It matches the Rfam family "7SK RNA". From Rfam's summary of the family: 7SK was discovered as an abundant small nuclear RNA in the mid-70s but a possible function has only recently been suggested. Two independent studies have found that 7SK RNA binds the CDK9/cyclin T complex (known as elongation factor P-TEFb). The record is from Ensembl. Lineage: Eukaryota; Metazoa; Chordata; Mammalia; Artiodactyla; Bovidae.